UGUUAAAUUCUCAGUGGCUACAGCCACACU
Molecule: small RNA, 30 nt
Filed under: Bombyx mori (domestic silkworm)
Lineage: Eukaryota; Metazoa; Arthropoda; Insecta; Lepidoptera; Bombycidae
Description: piRNA piR-bmo-2129294
Source: RNAcentral